GAGUGGCGAACGGGUGAGUAACACGUGGGUAACCUGCCCAGAAGUAGGGGAUAACACCUGGAAACAGAUGCUAAUACCGUAUAACAGAGAAAACCGCAUGGUUUUCUUUUAAAAGAUGGCUCUGCUAUCACUUCUGGAUGGACCCGCGGCGUAUUAGCUAGUUGGUGAGGUAAAGGCUCACCAAGGCAGUGAUACGUAGCCGACCUGAGAGGGUAAUCGGCCACAUUGGGACUGAGACACGGCCCAGACUCCUACGGGAGGCAGCAGUAGGGAAUCUUCCACAAUGGACGCAAGUCUGAUGGAGCAACGCCGCGUGAGUGAAGAAGGGUUUCGGCUCGUAAAGCUCUGUUGUUAAAGAAGAACGUGGGUAAGAGUAACUGUUUACCCAGUGACGGUAUUUAACCAGAAAGCCACGGCUAACUACGUGCCAGCAGCCGCGGUAAUACGUAGGUGGCAAGCGUUAUCCGGAUUUAUUGGGCGUAAAGCGAGCGCAGGCGGUCUUUUAAGUCUAAUGUGAAAGCCUUCGGCUCAACCGAAGAAGUGCAUUGGAAACUGGGAGACUUGAGUGCAGAAGAGGACAGUGGAACUCCAUGUGUAGCGGUGAAAUGCGUAGAUAUAUGGAAGAACACCAGUGGCGAAGGCGGCUGUCUGGUCUGCAACUGACGCUGAGGCUCGAAAGCAUGGGUAGCGAACAGGAUUAGAUACCCUGGUAGUCCAUGCCGUAAACGAUGAUUACUAAGUGUUGGAGGGUUUCCGCCCUUCAGUGCUGCAGCUAACGCAUUAAGUAAUCCGCCUGGGGAGUACGACCGCAAGGUUGAAACUCAAAAGAAUUGACGGGGGCCCGCACAAGCGGUGGAGCAUGUGGUUUAAUUCGAAGCUACGCGAAGAACCUUACCAGGUCUUGACAUCUUCUGACAGUCUAAGAGAUUAGAGGUUCCCUUCGGGGACAGAAUGACAGGUGGUGCAUGGUUGUCGUCAGCUCGUGUCGUGAGAUGUUGGGUUAAGUCCCGCAACGAGCGCAACCCUUAUUACUAGUUGCCAGCAUUAAGUUGGGCACUCUAGUGAGACUGCCGGUGACAAACCGGAGGAAGGUGGGGACGACGUCAAAUCAUCAUGCCCCUUAUGACCUGGGCUACACACGUGCUACAAUGGAUGGUACAACGAGUCGCGAAACCGCGAGGUUAAGCUAAUCUCUUAAAACCAUUCUCAGUUCGGACUGUAGGCUGCAACUCGCCUACACGAAGUCGGAAUCGCUAGUAUUCGCGGGAUCAGCAUGCCGCGGUGAAUACGUUUCCCGGGGCCCUUGUACACACCGCCGGUCCCACCAUGAGAAGUUGUACCACUCAAGCCCGGGGGGGUAACCUUAGGAGCUAGCCGUUCUAGGGUGGG
Molecule: ribosomal RNA, 1389 nt
Filed under: Pediococcus sp. GS4
Lineage: Bacteria; Bacillati; Bacillota; Bacilli; Lactobacillales; Lactobacillaceae
Description: 16S ribosomal RNA
Rfam family: Bacterial small subunit ribosomal RNA
Source: RNAcentral